RNAcentral lists this long non-coding RNA (202 nucleotides) under Capsicum annuum. RNAcentral's name for it is "long non-coding RNA (CANN_LNC008170)". Lineage: Eukaryota; Viridiplantae; Streptophyta; Magnoliopsida; Solanales; Solanaceae. The record is from RNAcentral.
UGGGUAGUAAAUAAUGGUACAAAAUACAUGUUAAGGGGGGGAACUAAUCAUGAAAAAUGUCUAUCUACAUGUUGUUCCAGUGUGGGGGCUUAUAUGUGAUGUAAUUAUCGAAAUUGAAAUAUUAUGUAAUAUGUUUAACUGUGUGGGGUCCUAUGUAACAUUGAUAGCCUUGAACACAUGUGAGUAAUUGUAUUGUAUUGUU